CAGUUCGUACUGUGAAGCAUCCUAGUUAAGUCAGGCAACGAGCGAGACCCUAGCCCACAGUUGCCAGCGUACUCUCUGGAGUGACGGGUACACUGUGGGGACCGCCGCUGCUAAAGCGGAGGAAGGAAUGGGCAACGGUAGGUCAGUAUGCCCCGAAUAUCCCGGGCUACACGCGAGCUACAAUGGUUGGUACAAUGGGUAUCUACCCCGAAAGGGGACGGGAAUCUCCUAAAACCAAUCUUAGUUCGGAUUGAGGGCUGCAACUCGCCCUCAUGAAGCUGGAAUCCGUAGUAAUCGCGUUUCAACAGAACGCGGUGAAUACGUCCCUGCUCCUU
This 335-nucleotide ribosomal RNA is filed under the name uncultured Methanosaeta sp. Its description in RNAcentral is "bacterial SSU rRNA". It matches the Rfam family "Archaeal small subunit ribosomal RNA", at positions 1005 to 1338 of the family's 1478-position model. Lineage: Archaea; Methanobacteriati; Methanobacteriota; Methanomicrobia; Methanotrichales; Methanotrichaceae. The record is from RNAcentral.